AGUGAACGCUGGCGGCAUGCCUAACACAUGCAAGUCGAACGGCAGCACGGUUACUGCCAGCUGUUGGCGGGGGGCAGAGGGGGGCGUGAGAGGUGUGAACCGGACUCUACUUGGGGGUGAGCGCGGAGAAAGGGGGAUUAAUACCGAUACCGAACACGGUCUGAGGGUGGGGGCACUGGUUCUUUCGGCCUUGAGCGAUGGCGCGUGCCUAUGUCGGAUUAGCUAGUUGGAGGGGUAAAGGCCCACCAAGGCGACGAUCAGUAGCUGGUCUGAGAGGACGACCCGCCACACUGGGACUGAGACACGGCCCAGACUCCUACGGGAGGCAGCAGUGGGGAAUUUUGGACAAUGGGCGCAAGCCUGAUCCAGCAAUGCCGCGUGUGUGAAGAAGGCCUUCGGGUUGUAAAGCACUUUUGUUGGGAAAGAAAUCCUUCGCCCUAAUACGCUCCUGUUAUGACGGUACCCAAAGAAUAAGCACCGGCUAACUACGUG
RNAcentral lists this ribosomal RNA (492 nucleotides) under uncultured bacterium. RNAcentral describes it as "partial 16S ribosomal RNA". It matches the Rfam family "Bacterial small subunit ribosomal RNA", at positions 29 to 507 of the family's 1533-position model. The record is from RNAcentral.